RNAcentral lists this ribosomal RNA (997 nucleotides) under Salmonella enterica subsp. enterica serovar Manhattan. RNAcentral's name for it is "bacterial LSU rRNA". It matches the Rfam family "Bacterial large subunit ribosomal RNA", at positions 1934 to 2925 of the family's 2925-position model. Lineage: Bacteria; Pseudomonadati; Pseudomonadota; Gammaproteobacteria; Enterobacterales; Enterobacteriaceae. The record is from RNAcentral.
CCGUAACUAUAACGGUCCUAAGGUAGCGAAAUUCCUUGUCGGGUAAGUUCCGACCUGCACGAAUGGCGUAAUGAUGGCCAGGCUGUCUCCACCCGAGACUCAGUGAAAUUGAACUCGCUGUGAAGAUGCAGUGUACCCGCGGCAAGACGGAAAGACCCCGUGAACCUUUACUAUAGCUUGACACUGAACAUUGAGCCUUGAUGUGUAGGAUAGGUGGGAGGCUUUGAAGUGUGGACGCCAGUCUGCAUGGAGCCGACCUUGAAAUACCACCCUUUAAUGUUUGAUGUUCUAACGUGGACCCGUUACCCGGGUUGCGGACAGUGUCUGGUGGGUAGUUUGACUGGGGCGGUCUCCUCCUAAAGAGUAACGGAGGAGCACGAAGGUUGGCUAAUCCUGGUCGGACAUCAGGAGGUUAGUGCAAUGGCAUAAGCCAGCUUGACUGCGAGCGUGACGGCGCGAGCAGGUGCGAAAGCAGGUCAUAGUGAUCCGGUGGUUCUGAAUGGAAGGGCCAUCGCUCAACGGAUAAAAGGUACUCCGGGGAUAACAGGCUGAUACCGCCCAAGAGUUCAUAUCGACGGCGGUGUUUGGCACCUCGAUGUCGGCUCAUCACAUCCUGGGGCUGAAGUAGGUCCCAAGGGUAUGGCUGUUCGCCAUUUAAAGUGGUACGCGAGCUGGGUUUAGAACGUCGUGAGACAGUUCGGUCCCUAUCUGCCGUGGGCGAUGGAGAACUGAGGGGGGCUGCUCCUAGUACGAGAGGACCGGAGUGGACGCAUCACUGGUGUUCGGGUUGUCAUGCCAAUGGCACUGCCCGGUAGCUAAAUGCGGAAGAGAUAAGUGCUGAAAGCAUCUAAGCACGAAACUUGCCCCGAGAUGAGUUCUCCCUGAGACUUUAGGUCUCCUGAAGGAACGUUGAAGACGACGACGUUGAUAGGCCGGGUGUGUAAGCGCAGCGAUGCGUUGAGCUAACCGGUACUAAUGAACCGUGAGGCUUAACCUU